NNCCAUAUGACGAGUCCCAAAUAGGACGAAAUGCGCAUCCUGUCUGGAU
This is a non-coding RNA of Trichobilharzia regenti, 49 nucleotides long. The record is from Rfam. NCBI's taxonomy places the organism in Eukaryota, Metazoa, Platyhelminthes, Trematoda, Strigeidida, Schistosomatidae.